UACGAAGGUGGCAAGCGUUACUCGGAAUGACUAGGCGUAAAGGGCAGGUAGGUGGUUUGGUAAGUCUGUUGUGAAAGCUCUCGGCUCAACUGGGAGAGGCCAACAGAUACUGCUAGGCUUGAGUAUAGGAGAGGUUACUGGAAUUCCUGGUGUAGCGGUGAAAUGCGCAGAGAUCAGGAGGAACACCAAUGGCGAAAGCAAGUAACUGGACUAUUACUGACACUCAGCUGCGAAAGCUAGGGGAGCAAACAGG
RNAcentral lists this ribosomal RNA (253 nucleotides) under uncultured bacterium. RNAcentral describes it as "partial 16S ribosomal RNA". It matches the Rfam family "Bacterial small subunit ribosomal RNA", at positions 524 to 776 of the family's 1533-position model. The record is from RNAcentral.